UACGGAGGGGGAUAGCGUUGUUCGGAAUUACUGGGCGUAAAGCGCACGUAGGCGGAUUAGUAAGUCAGGGGUGAAAUCCCGGGGCUCAACCUCGGAACUGCCUUUGAUACUGCUGAUCUCGAGUCCGGAAGAGGUGAGUGGAAUUCCUAGUGUAGAGGUGAAAUUCGUAGAUAUUAGGAAGAACUCCAGUGGCGAAGGCGGCUCACUGGUCCGGUACUGACGCUGAGGUGCGAAAGCGUGGGGAGCAAACAGG
This 253-nucleotide ribosomal RNA is filed under the name uncultured bacterium. RNAcentral's name for it is "partial 16S ribosomal RNA". It matches the Rfam family "Bacterial small subunit ribosomal RNA", at positions 524 to 776 of the family's 1533-position model. The record is from RNAcentral.